This 228-nucleotide long non-coding RNA is filed under the name Gorilla gorilla gorilla (western lowland gorilla). Its description in RNAcentral is "lncRNA (ENSGGOG00000044433.1)". Lineage: Eukaryota; Metazoa; Chordata; Mammalia; Primates; Hominidae. The record is from RNAcentral.
CCUGACCACUGAAAUUGCCAGAACUCAUGAACACAUUUUAGAAUGCAAAUGUAACCUGGGACAGGACUCACAUCCUUGGAUCCCAGACUCUUUGAUGACAGGAAGGCCAAACUAUCUCAAAUGGUUUUCAUGAAGAACUUACAGUGAGCCUACACGGAGUUGUCCAUACACAGAAGAACUGAGACCCCCCAGCCCCUGCCACUAGUGACAGCUCUCACUAACCUCCUG